Protopterus annectens (West African lungfish) is the source of this 135-nucleotide small nucleolar RNA. RefSeq annotates it as small nucleolar RNA SNORA5. The transcript has a single exon. NCBI's taxonomy places the organism in Eukaryota, Metazoa, Chordata, Ceratodontiformes, Protopteridae. The record is from RefSeq and is a predicted model, not a curated record.
UGCAGCCUUGUCAAAUUCAGAGGUGCACUUCCAUUGUACUUACUGGCCUAAGUGGCUGCUACAGUAAACUUGCAAUUUAUGUGCCCUGUACCCACUUCUGUGGGUGCUGGGGUAAGUAAAAUUCUGCAGACAUUU